CUAAAUGAAAUAAUAUAUAAUAAAUAAAAAAUCGUAACAAACGCCUUCACUUCUCUCUCUCUCUCUCUCUCUCUGAAACUGCUCGCCGAAAAUCGCCACCGCCGUGCCGGGAAUCGCCCACGGCGGCGGCGGAGGCCUGAUCCUCACCAAAUCACUUCAAUCGCAUUCUUUUCUUCCUCUUAAGAAAGAUUAUCAUCUUAAUUUCAACAAAUUUCCAGCUGUCGCACGCUCGAGAAAAAGAACAGUUUCCGGCGAGCGGUUUACGCCGCCGACCACCGUGAGCCACCAUCUUAGACCUCUUCUUCCUAAUUUCGAGUUUAGCCUAACGUGAUUCGUCAUUAAUCUCUCGUUCUCACUCUCUAAUCCUCAAAACGAAACGAACAAAAAACCUAAAUGAUAUCAACCGGUUUACACUACAAAUUCGAUCCAAUUAGAAGCUGGCAUGAGAAAGAAUGUGAGAAUCGAAAGAUUAUAGCGUUUACCUGGGGAGUAUGAAGGUUGAAGAUAAUUGCUGAGGAAAACCAGAGGUAAUUGCUGCGAGAUUGAGCGCCCGAUGAAGGUGAUGUGCGUCGAAUGUAUGUGGUGAGGUUGUUGUUAGUUAUGCUUUCUGCGAGUGAGAGAGAUGAAUGCGUGUUGUGCGUUCUUGAGAGAGUAGAGUCAAUGGAGGCUAAGCUCAGUUGAAACGAGACUUCGAGGUGAAGUCUCGCACAACAAUGGUGAGAGAAAGAGUGAGGGAAUUGAGAGUGAUUGAAGAUGAAUGGUGUGUGUCGAGGGAAGAGAUGAUAAAGAGAGGAUUGAAGGUGAUGAUAGGUUGAAGAUGAGAAAAUGGUGGACGAAGUGAAGAGAUGAAGAAAGUGAAGAGAGGACCUUCAAGAAUGAAGAAAGUGAAAGUGAUGAGAAAAUGGUGGACGAAGUGAAGAGAUGAUGAAAGGUUUACUGUAGUGCCAAUGUUUGUUUUGCUGGGUCCUGCGAAGGUGAUUAGCACAUUAAAUAAUGGUAAGGUCUUCGGAAUUUGUAACUGAUGUGUACUAUCAAUUUAUCCAUAUAUUUUUUUCUCUAUCUCCAACUCUCUGAAUUUGAAUGACAUUUUCAAUUUUUUGUAGUUUACUUUGCCUUAUUUACUAUGUGUUUUGUUGAUUUCCAAUUAUGUUUGCUGUUUACUUACCAAUGUAGUAAUCAAACAAUUUUUUUCCUAUUUAUUAUGAAUUUUGAAACCAAGAAGGAAUUAGAGUGCAUUUUCUGAUAUUUGGCUCAACCUUUGCAUCUUACAAUUUGGCAAUUGCUUCUAUUACUAUUUGUUGAUUGUUGUUUGGUAUUUGCUUUUAUUGGCUACCUAAAGUAAGGAAGGAACCUGAAGUCUAUGUUGUGUAAAUUCAACAUUCAUUAGUAAUUGUCUUAUUAGAUUAUUGAUGUUUAGAAGGAAGGAAAAUAUAGUCUUACUAAUUAUUUGGUGAUGUUUUCUUUAUUUAGAGAAAAACAAACUAUUAAAUAUGGAAAUAUUAAUUGAAUGAAUGUGUAGGUGGCUGGAACCUAAGUCUUUGAUUCUUUUUAGUCUUCAAUGGAAUCCCCUGUAUCCUUUCUAUUGAUGCAUUAACUGGAGUACCAUUUUUCUAAUGAUUGACAUUGUGCUCUUAAUAUGAAAUUUGUUUAAGACAAACUCCCAAGAUUUAUUAAUGUUUAUUAUGAAGAGAUAGUUUAUAGCAAGGGCCAAAUACCAUAAAGGGAUUAAGUGCAUUCAUUUUUUGAUAUUUCAGAGACAAACAGUAGUCUGAGACAGACAAUUCCAAAUAUUAUAUUCUGUAUUAUUUAGUUAUUGAUAAUUUACUCGUACAUACAUGAUUUGUCACUAGAUUAAUAAGGAUAAAAGAUGUGACUUUGUUAAUUAAUAUUUUACUGCUAGUCUAGAGAUGCUUGCUCAAUAAAUUUAUUGAAAAUAACUAUUGUAUCAUUCAAUUUAGUUGGUUUGAAAUAACUCCUACUGUUUGCUCCUAAUUGUACUUUUUUCAAAAGACCGGUAAAGGUUGAUCAAAAGAUAGAAAUGUCACAAAAUCGUUAUUGCAAUAUUGGCAACAAUGAUUAUGGUAUAUAAUAGCAGCUUUUGGAAACUAAAGGUAAUGGAAGCUUAAAAAGAAGAGCUAGUUAUGGAGAAAAGUGGUAAAGUGGAUGAGAAGAAUAUUUAAGGUGUCAAAUUUACAUUCCUUUGAAAUCAAUAGUAUUUCUCCCUCUUUAUCAAAUGAUGUUUUCUAGUUGCAGAAUGGAUAUGUUUCUGUAUGAGUCAAGCAAAGCACAUUCGUUUCUAGAUUCAUUAGAAGUGUUGUUCAGUUUUUAUUCCUAAAUGGUUUGAAUCAAUGGCUAAUUAUUAAUGUAAUUCUUUUCUACAUUCUCAUUAGCUCUGUAAUAGAAUAGGCAUAGUCCCUCUUUAGAUAAGUGCUUUGUCUGGGUUGUUAUUAUUUUUUCCUAAUAAUAUAUUGAAUUUUAAUUUGUAUUAUUUCAUUUAGGAAUACAUGUACGUUAUUAUUAUAAUUUUGUUUUUAACAAAGAUUAUUAUGUAUUUUAACGAUGGGUAAAAAUAAUAAUUAUAAAAAAGAUAUUGGUUGACUUAUGGCAUGUUUCCUUAUAAAAUCAUGUCAAAGUCAGUUGAAAUAAUAACAAUAAAAAAGGUAUGAAUUUUAAAUAUUUUAAAUAACUUUUAGAGGGGUUUAAAACCCCCGUAAAAUUGGUUUCCAUUCAGUGGAUACACGGGGUUUAAAACCCGUGUAUUUAAUUGAACUUUUCACAUCGAAAGUGUAUACAAAUUAUAUAUGUUCAGUGAACUUGCACCAACUAUGUGGAUCGCCAUGUCAGUACUAGGGAGCAGAUUACAGUGCAAGAUACUUUGGACGACAUGGCUUACAAAACAUCACAGUUUGGGUUGGAUGGUAAUGGUGCAUUAGUUAGAGCUUAAACAAGCAUAUGGAGAUUGAAGCUGCACUUUAGAAUCUGAGAAUGAAGUUGCGCAUGGAGCUCUAUGUAGCAUAAUUUGUACUCAGCCUAGAAGAAUAUCUGCUAUGUAUGUUUCUGAAAGAGUUGCGGCAUCCAUGAGCUAUUUUGUUAACAUGCUUUUAUAAUGUUUAAUCUUAAUAUUUUCAUCGAGCCAUUGUUUCUAUUAAAUACUGCAGCUAGAAUCUUUGCAUUCUUGUAUGGUCCUCAUAAUUAUGUAGCUAGAAUAUUGGACACUAGAAGAUAUGGUGAGCAAUAUGCAAGCAAAGAGGAGGAUGCGGACCGUGUCUUGCAAUUAAGAACCUCAACUGAAAUUAAACCUGGAAAUUCUUUGAUUACAUUUCUGAUGCCAAAGGAUCUGCCCUUUUCAUAGAAGGAGAAGAACCAAUUCAGCAACUUGCCAUUUUUGCUAAAACAGUCAUUGAUACAACCGGAGCUGGCGAUACUUUCACUGCUGCUUUUGUUAUAGUGUUAGUGGAGUGAAAGUCCAAAAAAGAAUGUCUCAUAUUUGCCGCUUGUGAUUUACGAAUCGGCAUCAAAUAGUUGACGUUACCAUUGCGCGCCAACUGUUCGGAAUAUAUCCCAAAGUGGAAUCCCGAGCUCAUAGAUUACGAAAGCUUAUUGCAAGAAAAAUUCCAAUAAGGCUUGCUGUAACAUAAGUAUUGUUUGGCUGUGCUAGUUUGAAAUGAGUUCCUAUUUGUCUAACUCAAAAUCAUUUUAUUACAGGUACGCCUUACCUUGCCGUCGUUGUUAAAACUAUAUCCUACUACUGUUGAAGCUAGGGAUAAAAGCUUAACAGUUAUUUUUAAUAUGUUGGCAACAUUUAUUGGUACAAUGGAUAGAUCAUCUAUCGGGGCAUUAUGUGGAAAUAUUUUUUACUUUUGCUUGGUUGCUCUUGAUCUUCGCCGUCAAAGUCCUCAUUUAGUUAAAAACAUUAUGGCAUGGUGAAGGAAUUUGAUGACCUACUUGGCAUUUGCAUCGGCCAAAUGGCUGUCACAGCUGGUUCUAAUCUUUUGUUGUAACCUUUGAACCACGAGGUUUUGAUGCAGACACGUAGUGAGAAGACGCGGACUAGAAUAUUGGGCCUGAUCGCCUGAGAACUAUUAAACAUUUUGGAGAUAACUUGAAAGAAGAAUAUUUAGUAUUAUUAGGAAAAAAAUCCCCUGCCUCGGUGAACUGUUUGAGGAUGUGGAGCUUUGAGUUAAAUCUCUUGCUCAAGAAAAUCUACAAGAAAUGAAGUCUAUGAGUGGGGAGAUCCUUCGACAAUACUUAUGAUCUUAGAUUAGAAAGGUAGUUUUCAUUGUAUCGUGACGUGACGAGUGUGAGCUAGAAAUGUGUAAUAAAAUAUAGGGAAUCGUACUGUAGUUCAAUGUACAUUAUGUCCAUUUUAAAGGAAGGUGUCAUUCUUUUUUUAAUCAAAAGGAAUAUAUUAAUUCAAAAAAGCAUUGAUUACAAGCCGAACUCAAGGUUCCAACCCUCUUACAAGACAAAAUAAAACUGCUCUACAUCAUAAGGAUUGCUAUGUGUCUCCUAAAGUGUUUAGAUAUCCACCCACUAUAAGUAAUUUUCUCUAUAAUGCUAUCCACAAUCUUUGUAUUCUUUCUCUUUUUAAAAAUAACACUGUUUCUAUACAACCAAACCUCAUGUAAGGUUUCAGUUAUUGCAAGCUUCAAUGCAGCAACUUUCCAUCCCUUCCUGUUUGUAGUAUUCAGAAUCCAAGGGAACUCCUCCUGCCACCCUUUAGGGUCAUGCAUUAUCUCAAGCCAAUUAAGGAUUGCUUUCCAAAUAGGUUUAGUUUCUCGGCACUCGAAGAACAGGUGCUGAAUGCUUUCUUCCUUAUCUCUGCAUAAGCUACAAAUGUUAUUUUGCAGCAUUCCAAAACGCACAAGUCUAUCCUUGGUUGCUAGUUUCCCUUGGUAUACUAACCACAAGGUAAUGAUUGUCUUAGGCCUAACACAAUUUCUCCACAUCAG
Vicia villosa (hairy vetch) is the source of this 4952-nucleotide long non-coding RNA. RefSeq lists it as uncharacterized. The transcript is spliced from 8 exons. The record is from RefSeq and is a predicted model, not a curated record. Lineage: Eukaryota; Viridiplantae; Streptophyta; Magnoliopsida; Fabales; Fabaceae.